CUCUUGCAAACCUUUUAGGAUUUAUUAUUCUUGGUAUAUUUCCUAUAAAUAGAGAAGAAUUGGCUACUCCCUUUCAUAAAUUAAAAAUACUAGAAUAUCUACAAAGCUUUUCUUUUGGUUUAUGUUUGAGUUCACAAAAGUAAUGGGUUCUAAGAUCUUUGUUGUUCUAUUUCUAUUCGUGGCUAUUAUCUUUCUGAUCUCUUCUGAGGUUUCAUCCAAACAAGACACAGACGAAAAAUUGGACACCAACAACGGUAAGAAUGAAGCAAAUGGGAAAGAAGAAACCGAGCUUCCGCUUCUUCCUCCAAGUUAUUGUCGCCAUGGUUGCUGCCAUUGGGUUUAUCGUGGGGAAUUGCGGCGGUAUUGCAUCAAGUGCUGCAAAAAAAUCCAUCAUAUUCAUGAUCAUGAUGAUCAACAACAGUUCUUUGACCCUAAUGUUAUUAACGAUGACUCGGAAUCAUAUAACUAAUAGUUAACGUAACCCUGAUAUGAUAUCACUACUAGUCAGGAAUAAUAAAACUCAGCUUCAUGAAGAAUAAUGUAACAAAAUAUAAUAAGGAUGUGUAUAAUAAACGUGCAAUUCUCUCAUUGUACUUAUUGCUAAACGAAUAAUAAAAUAUAUUAUUUCUUGUC
Molecule: long non-coding RNA, 633 nt
Organism: Arachis duranensis
Lineage: Eukaryota; Viridiplantae; Streptophyta; Magnoliopsida; Fabales; Fabaceae
Exons: 2
Source: RefSeq, a predicted model, not a curated record